UGCCUCUUAGCUCAGCAGGUAGAGCCCGCGGCUGUUAACCGCGUUGUCGUCAGUUCGAGUCUGACAGAGGCAGCCA
This 76-nucleotide transfer RNA is filed under the name Clostridia bacterium. RNAcentral's name for it is "tRNA-Asn". It matches the Rfam family "tRNA". Rfam says of the family: Transfer RNA (tRNA) molecules are approximately 80 nucleotides in length. The record is from RNAcentral. Lineage: Bacteria; Bacillati; Bacillota; Clostridia.